CGUGUAGGCGGUUUAAUAAGUCAGAUGUAAAAGCCCCCGGCUCAACCGGGGAUGGUCAUUUGAAACUGUUAGGCUUGAGUGCGAGAGAGGGUAGUGGAAUUCCCAGUGUAGCGGUGGAAUGCGUAGAUAUUGGGAAGAACACCAGUAGCGAAGGCGGCUACCUGGCUCGCAACUGACGCUAAGGCGCGAAAGCGUGGGGAGCAAACA
Molecule: ribosomal RNA, 207 nt
Filed under: uncultured bacterium
Lineage: Bacteria
Description: partial 16S ribosomal RNA
Rfam family: Bacterial small subunit ribosomal RNA
Source: RNAcentral